CCUACGGGAGGCAGCAGUGAGGAAUAUUGGUCAAUGGGCGGGAGCCUGAACCAGCCAAGCCGCGUGAGGGAAGAAGGUACAGCGUAUCGUAAACCUCUUUUGUCAGGGCACAAAGGCGGGGACUAGUCCCCGGAUGAGGGUACCUGAAGAAAAAGCAUCGGCUAACUCCGUGCCAGCAGCCGCGGUAAUACGGAGGAUGCGAGCGUUAUCCGGAUUUAUUGGGUUUAAAGGGUGCGCAGGGGGCCUGUUAAGUCAGCGGGAAAAGCCCGGGGCUCAACCCCGGCGAGCCGUUGAAACUGGCGGGCUGGAGUGGGAGAGAGGUACGCGGAAUGCGCGGUGUAGCGGUGAAAUGCUUAGAUAUCGCGCAGAACCCCGAUUGCGAAGGCAGCGUACCGGCUCCACACUGACGCUGAGGCACGAAAGCGUGGGUAUCGAACAGGAUUAGAUACCCGUGUAGUC
RNAcentral lists this ribosomal RNA (459 nucleotides) under uncultured bacterium. RNAcentral describes it as "partial 16S ribosomal RNA". It matches the Rfam family "Bacterial small subunit ribosomal RNA", at positions 338 to 795 of the family's 1533-position model. The record is from RNAcentral.